CCUACGGGAGGCAGCAGUGGGGAAUUUUGGACAAUGGGCGAAAGCCUGAUCCAGCCAUGCCGCGUGAGUGAAGAAGGCCUUCGGGUUGUAAAGCUCUUUCGGACGGGAAGAAAUCAUGAGGGCUAAUAUCCCUUGUGGAUGACGGUACCGUAAUAAGAAGCACCGGCUAACUACGUGCCAGCAGCCGCGGUAAUACGUAGGGUGCGAGCGUUAAUCGGAAUUACUGGGCGUAAAGCGUGCGCAGGCGGUUUUGUAAGACAGGCGUGAAAUCCCCGGGCUCAACCUGGGAACUGCGCUUGUGACUGCAUCACUUGAGUACGGCAGAGGGGGGUGGAAUUCCACGUGUAGCAGUGAAAUGCGUAGAGAUGUGGAGGAACACCGAUGGCGAAGGCAGCCCCCUGGGUCGAUACUGACGCUCAUGCACGAAAGCGUGGGUAGCAAACAGGAUUAGAUACCCUGGUAGUCCACGCCCUAAACGAUGUCAACUAGGUGUUGGGUGGGUAAAACCAUUUAGUACCGUAGCUAACGCGUGAAGUUGACCGCCUGGGGAGUACGGCCGCAAGGUUAAAACUCAAAGGAAUUGACGG
This 587-nucleotide ribosomal RNA is filed under the name uncultured beta proteobacterium. Its description in RNAcentral is "bacterial SSU rRNA". It matches the Rfam family "Bacterial small subunit ribosomal RNA", at positions 338 to 916 of the family's 1533-position model. The record is from RNAcentral. Lineage: Bacteria; Pseudomonadati; Pseudomonadota; Betaproteobacteria.